Long non-coding RNA from Meleagris gallopavo (turkey), 1861 nucleotides. Lineage: Eukaryota; Metazoa; Chordata; Aves; Galliformes; Phasianidae. The record is from Ensembl.
AUGUCCCUGGAUGAAACACUGGACCGUGAAGUACUGUUCUUACUUCAGGGACCUGAAUAUGCAGGAGAAAAGUUUAAGGCUGUCAUGCAAAACCUGCAAGAAGAAGCUUCUGCAGCAGAGGAGCUUAUCAAGACUUCUUUAGAACGGGUAGAAGAUCCUGAUGUGAACGUGCAGCAGGCCUGGGAGCGAAAACUUAUGGUAAGUAACAUUUCUCUAAUACUAUUUUCUGUCAGACUUGCCUGAAGUUUUCUGUAUGGUCCCAGUAUAUCAUACUGUUGCAUCCUAUAUGUGUUAUUAGAGGUCAUGGCAGUCCGUUUAUGGGUCAGAUAUGGCUGUAUAGGGAAAAGUAUGUUUUUUGUUCUGACUCUUAGUGAGUGGUGGGAGGACAGAGAAGAAAUAGCUUUUUACUCAACUGCUGGGCUUUUCCUGACUUGUCUUGUAUGACACACAUCUUUGAUGCUUGAAGGAAAGGGUAGAUGAAGCAAGUAGGUUUGAAGUCAGAUGACAACACAGUAGUAUGAGCUAUGAAGCUUUUCUGUCCAUUGUUUGAAACUUGUAUGUUUUUAAAACACCAGUUUUCUCUUUUCACUCUAUUUGACUACAAGGCAGAUGGUUCCUCCACCAGGAAGAGGAGGAAGGCAGGCUUUUCAACCAGAUUCUCUUUUAAAAAGCAAAAUGUUCAGCUAUUACUGGAUGUGCAUCAGAAAAGGUUUCUACAGAAAUAUAAAACUUAAUCAUAAAAUCAUAGAAUCAUGGAAUAGUUUGGGUUGGAAGGAACCUUAAAGCACAAUCAGUUCCUGCCAUGGACAGGGCUGCCACCCAUUGGCUCAGGUUGCCCAGGAUCCCAACCAGCCUGGCCUUGAAUGUCUCCAGGGAUGGGGCAUAAUGUAUACUUACUACUACUCUCAUUUUCUCUUAAGACUUGAGGGUAUAGAAUCAAAGUAACUGUGGCAAGAACAACUUCUCCCUUUGUUAGCAACUGUCUGCAGGUACUACUCAACCCUCUUGCUCUUGUUCUCUCCCUGACUUCUUUCUCCCCCAGUUUUCCACAUAACAGCAGUUUCUUGAUGGCCACCUUACUGGAUGUAAGUUUUUUUUCCUCUAAUCUGUUAAGAACUUUGUUACACACUAAUCCAUUGUACUGCAUAUUAAUGCUAUAUAUAAUCUUUUUAUUUCUUAAGUAGAUGCAAAACCUACUUGGGUAAUAACAGGUGACACCACAAAACAUACUGCUUUAAGCUGUUAGUUUUUAAGCAGAAAGAUACUCCUUUUUCUUUCCUCUAGUGUUGCAAAAUAUUAUAGCUGCCCCUCUCCAUCCUGUCCUGGGCAGGAGGAAACAACUAUUAGAGUCACCUAGUCUUCCUGCACUUCUUCAGGUUUUUGGUCUCGAAAAACUUCCUCCUUCAGUAUUUCUCAGCUGAAAGAUGCAUGUUGAUUUACCUUUCAUGACAUGGUUGUAUUCCCAUUAAACAUGUAAAGCUGAGAACUUUGUUUUGAGUAUUGACCUAUUCUGGCUCACAGAGUUUUAUACAAUUAGGAACUAGAGUAGCAGAGGUUCAGGAAAGAGCAGGAUGCUUUAAAAAUAGGUCUCCCAUCCUCAAGGUUCUGGAAACAUGAAAUGAUUUCAUGUCGAGCAUAUUGUCUUCACUUAGAAUGCAGUGGAUGUGUGGGAAAUAUGGUACAGGGAGCUGAACAAUAGAAGAUGCAAGAAAAAAAAAGUACUCUUUUCAGUCUUACAGGAAGUUUUUGUAGAAAAAACGGUGAGAUCUUUGGAAACUGGGACCACCCACUGUCACUUUAAGCUUAAACACUUUUUUUACCCCUUAUCUUCUGUAAAAUACAUUAUGUACGUGCUUUGCUG